UCGCAAUAGACGGGGCGGUAGCGGUGCCUUGUAGCCUACAAUCCGCUAUAGUAGGGUCGAAUUCCUAUCGAAGGUCUAGUCAUGUGUGGUCAGUACUUUUAAUUUGAUGUUGAGGAAAAAGUCUUUUACAACGAAAAACCCACGAACGGGUCAGAUCCGGAAGGAAGCAGCCAUAAAGGGGACACUUUUCUUGUGUAAAAGAGUACUUUUUCUGAGUCAAAGAGAAAGGUAACGCAUGGAUGGUUAUAUCGUAGAUAGGUUUGCGA
Anaerobacillus alkalilacustris is the source of this 266-nucleotide non-coding RNA. NCBI's taxonomy places the organism in Bacteria, Bacillati, Bacillota, Bacilli, Caryophanales, Bacillaceae. The record is from Rfam.